UGCAAGUCGAGCGCACUCUUCGGAGUGAGCGGCGGACGGGUUAGUAACGCGUGGGAACGUACCCAGAUCUAAGGAAUAGCCACUGGAAACGGUGAGUAAUACCUUAUACGCCCUUCGGGGGAAAGAUUUAUCGGAUUUGGAUCGGCCCGCGUUAGAUUAGGUAGUUGGUGGGGUAAUGGCCUACCAAGCCUACGAUCUAUAGCUGGUUUUAGAGGAUGAUCAGCAACACUGGGACUGAGACACGGCCCAGACUCCUACGGGAGGCAGCAGUGGGGAAUAUUGGACAAUGGGCGCAAGCCUGAUCCAGCCAUGCCGCGUGUGUGAAGAAGGCUCUAGGGUUGUAAAGCACUUUCAGUAGGGAGGAAGGCCAGAGGCUUAAUAAGUCUUUGGAUUGACGUUACCUACAGAAGCAGCACCGGCUAAAUCCGUGCCAGCAGCCGCGGUAAUACGGAUGGUGCGAGCGUUAAUCGGAAUUACUGGGCGUAAAGCGCGCGUAGGCGGCUAAGUCAGUCAGAAGUGAAAGCCCCGGGCUCAACCUGGGAAUUGCUUUUGAUACUGCUUAGCUAGAGUUUGGUAGAGGAUAGUGGAAUUCCAGGUGUAGCGGUGAAAUGCGUAGAUAUCUGGAGGAACAUCAGUGGCGAAGGCGACUGUCUGGACCAAAACUGACGCUGAGGUGCGAAAGCGUGGGUAGCAAACAGGAUUAGAUACCCUGGUAGA
RNAcentral lists this ribosomal RNA (717 nucleotides) under uncultured Pseudomonadota bacterium. RNAcentral's name for it is "bacterial SSU rRNA". It matches the Rfam family "Bacterial small subunit ribosomal RNA", at positions 56 to 794 of the family's 1533-position model. The record is from RNAcentral. Lineage: Bacteria; Pseudomonadati; Pseudomonadota.